RNAcentral lists this ribosomal RNA (350 nucleotides) under Synedra sp. 26 LG-2014. RNAcentral's name for it is "bacterial LSU rRNA". It matches the Rfam family "Bacterial large subunit ribosomal RNA", at positions 2090 to 2441 of the family's 2925-position model. The record is from RNAcentral. Lineage: Eukaryota; Bacillariophyta; Fragilariophyceae; Fragilariales; Fragilariaceae.
CCUAUGAAGCUUUACUGUAACUUGAAAUUGAAAUUGGACUUUAUCCGCGCAGUAUAGGUGGGAGGCAUUGAAAGAUUCUUGCGGGAAUUCUUGAGCCGUCAGUGAGAUACCACCCUUAUAAUGUUAGAUUUCUAACUUUUACCAUUAUCUGGUAAAAGGACAGUUUCAGGCGGGCAGUUUGACUGGGGCGGUCGCCUCCCAAAUGGUAACGGAGGCGCACAAAGGUUUCCUCUGAACGGGUAGAAAUCGUAUCUAGAGUGUAAAGGCAAAAGGAAGCUUGACUGUGAGACUUACAAGUCAAGCAGGGACGAAAGUCGGUCUUAGUGAUCUGACGGUGCUGAGUGGAAAGG